AGGAAGGGGACCCCGGAAGGGGACCCCGAAGGCCACGCCGCGGGAGGCCCCCGCCUGGCUUCGGGCUUUCGCAACCUACCCAGGGCCCCGGCGGGAAGAGUCGGUGGGGAGGCCCCUUGGAGGGACUGGUCCGGUCUCCCAGGCACAGGCCCGGGCGCUUUUGUUCCUGGGACCCCAGGUGACCUGGCACGAGGCUUGCAGCCACCGUUCCAUUCCUUCCUAGCGGCCCCUUUAAUUGAUGUGCACGUUUCAGAAGAAGCAGGGCCGCCUCACCAAGUGAAUUACAUCCUGGGAGAUGCCAAGAAUGUAUUCCCUGGCAGCCAGGUUUGCCAAUAGAAGUCGCAAAAGAAGACCACUGGUUUCCGGGAAAAAGGACUCUGUUUUUCAACCGCUCCUUAGUCUUAACUAUGAAAAACUGAACCUCCAAAGAGCUGGUCUGGAAAACGGCGAGAGGGGCGCGCGGUACCCCCCGCCCCCAGACCCUCACAGCGCGCAUGCGCAGCCUCUCCGGCCCCUCCCGACGCAGACACGCGCGGGCAGGACGCUGGCGCGGGAGGGGAACGCGUUCGGGUUCGAGCUCUUUAGUUUGGAAGCAACGACGUAUGAAAAGAUAGGCUGUGGCGAACAGAGGGACGUUCCCGCAGAGUCGAGGAAGCUGCGCCUAGAGAGAGCACCUUGCCGAGAUCACACACGCGUCCCUUGCAGCGUCCCACUGAGAUGCCCUUUGGGGUGCGGUGCUCCCGAGCCAGAAGACGUGAAACGACUGAAUGCCACGGGCGGUUAGUCUCGUCUCGAUGGUUUCGGAUGUUAAAGUGCAUUUCAGAUGGAUGAUCCGUGGACUAAGCCACUUAACAAAUUUGCCGAUACGGAGCCAGAAUUAGAGCUGCCAGGAGCUCCUUGUGACUUGGGGUGCGGUUCCCAAGCCUCCAUCAGAGUAAAGCUGGAGAAAAGGAAAGGCCGCCAGCCCAACCACUCCUGGUGUGGACCCAGAGCGUGCGCCCCAGCUGGGGUCUCGGAGUACAGAAGAGCUGCGAGAGUGAGCCUGCAGUACGGACAGAUGGAGAAGGGCGCGCCCAAGCCAAGGGGUCGCAACUGGCCUUCGGAAAGCGCACCGGCCUUCGUGAAGACUGAAGCGCAGAGGAAACGCGGAGACGCGAAGGUUGCGCUGACGGUCGCCCCAAGGAAGAGGCAGGGGAAGGGGUCUGUCUCGUCGGCCUUCCCGCUGCGGUUUUCCCAGCUCUCCUCUCUGUGUUUACGGUGCUGCGUCGUCGCACAGUGAGAAGAAAGGCAAGAGCUCUGUGUCUCUGAGUCGCUGACGCCAAGGGCAGCGCUUCGUCUUCGAGCAUCCGAAGGAGAAAUCCCACGUCAAGACCCGCGACAGUGAACACAUGGGCUGCCGGUGCUGAAAGUCUGAGAGCAAGCCUCGCUCGCCCUGCGAGCACACCUGACAACUGGCAACCGCAUCAGAGUUUUGGACUCGUUUUACCAUUUACAAUCCAGCACGCUGCCUCCUUUCUCCUCUUGAUUAACGUGGAAAAGGAACGUGGUGAUGGCUCCUCUGCUGCUUUCAUCUUCGUGGUGCCGGUGCCUGGAGCCUGAGACCCCCGCUGCGGCAGGAUGUCCCAGGAGGGAGGAGAAAAUGCUGCACGAGGACUCGGCACACCACCAAACCGAGCGCAGCUGGUUUAGAGAUGCUGAGAUGUGAGGCCCAUCUGCACCUUAGACUAGAAAGAGGACCUUCCACGCGGACCCCACUGUUGCAGGCUCCAAGGUCUGACUGAGCAAGAAGAGAGAAUCAACCAAGUGUCCAUUGAUGGGUGAACGGAUGAGCAGAAUGUGGUGUGCGAUGUGACGGAAUACGAUUCACCCGGCCUUCCCGGUGUGGCUCAGCGAAGUAUCCUGACGUAGCAUCCAUGAGGAUGCAGGUUCAAUCCUGGACUCGCUCAGUGAGUUAAGGACCCCACGUUGCCCUGAGCCGUGGUGUGGCCGGGGCCGCAGCGGGUGGAGCACCAGGGGGCGGGGCCUCACAGGGAGGCAGGUGGGGCCAGGGAGCUACGGGCUGGGAUCUGCAGAGUGCCUGUUCCCUGAGUCCCUCCCAUCCCCCCACCCUCCUAACAGCUCUCAUAGGUCGGGCUCAGCAUGUGGAGGAGCCUGGGUGGGGGAUGGUUCCAGCUUGACCUCCGGGGCUCCAGUAAUAGCGCGACCUUCGGAAGCCGUGCCGUCUCCCGAAUCUCAGGGUCUCCUUGGGACGUUGGGUCCAGUAGUGGGACCUGCCCUGGCUGUGCCAGGUGCUUCAUAAAGGGCAGUGUGUGGUCAGGUAUCAUCAGUGUAUUAGAUCAGCGUUUCCUGAGACUGCCGCCCGCGUCCCCUGCCGAGUUCCAGGAACGCCCCCGCCCCCAGCACACACCACCCCUGCCCCGCCCCCGUCCCCAGGGCCCACUUCGUGGCCAAUGCAGACUCCCAGGGCCCCACAAGCACUGCUCCCGUCACCGGCCAGGUGCUCUUUGGAACCCAGCAACUUUGCUAACAUUCACUAAGGGAAAUGCUGGGGAAGUUACUUCCACUUGGGGAAGCUCACAGCUCGGCAAACUUGAAGACAUUCAAAGGCAAGGGCAGGAGUUCCCGUCAUGGCACAGUGGAAACAAA
Sus scrofa (pig) is the source of this 2646-nucleotide non-coding RNA. Lineage: Eukaryota; Metazoa; Chordata; Mammalia; Artiodactyla; Suidae. The record is from RefSeq and is a predicted model, not a curated record.